This 1521-nucleotide ribosomal RNA is filed under the name Lactiplantibacillus plantarum subsp. plantarum. Its description in RNAcentral is "Lactobacillus plantarum subsp. plantarum 16S ribosomal RNA". It matches the Rfam family "Bacterial small subunit ribosomal RNA". Lineage: Bacteria; Bacillati; Bacillota; Bacilli; Lactobacillales; Lactobacillaceae. The record is from RNAcentral.
AGAGUUUGAUCCUGGCUCAGGACGAACGCUGGCGGCGUGCCUAAUACAUGCAAGUCGAACGAACUCUGGUAUUGAUUGGUGCUUGCAUCAUGAUUUACAUUUGAGUGAGUGGCGAACUGGUGAGUAACACGUGGGAAACCUGCCCAGAAGCGGGGGAUAACACCUGGAAACAGAUGCUAAUACCGCAUAACAACUUGGACCGCAUGGUCCGAGCUUGAAAGAUGGCUUCGGCUAUCACUUUUGGAUGGUUCCCGCGGCGUAUUAGCUAGAUGGUGGGGUAACGGCUCACCAUGGCAAUGAUACGUAGCCGACCUGAGAGGGUAAUCGGCCACAUUGGGACUGAGACACGGCCCAAACUCCUACGGGAGGCAGCAGUAGGGAAUCUUCCACAAUGGACGAAAGUCUGAUGGAGCAACGCCGCGUGAGUGAAGAAGGGUUUCGGCUCGUAAAACUCUGUUGUUAAAGAAGAACAUAUCUGAGAGUAACUGUUCAGGUAUUGACGGUAUUUAACCAGAAAGCCACGGCUAACUACGUGCCAGCAGCCGCGGUAAUACGUAGGUGGCAAGCGUUGUCCGGAUUUAUUGGGCGUAAAGCGAGCGCAGGCGGUUUUUUAAGUCUGAUGUGAAAGCCUUCGGCUCAACCGAAGAAGUGCAUCGGAAACUGGGAAACUUGAGUGCAGAAGAGGACAGUGGAACUCCAUGUGUAGCGGUGAAAUGCGUAGAUAUAUGGAAGAACACCAGUGGCGAAGGCGGCUGUCUGGUCUGUAACUGACGCUGAGGCUCGAAAGUAUGGGUAGCAAACAGGAUUAGAUACCCUGGUAGUCCAUACCGUAAACGAUGAAUGCUAAGUGUUGGAGGGUUUCCGCCCUUCAGUGCUGCAGCUAACGCAUUAAGCAUUCCGCCUGGGGAGUACGGCCGCAAGGCUGAAACUCAAAGGAAUUGACGGGGGCCCGCACAAGCGGUGGAGCAUGUGGUUUAAUUCGAAGCUACGCGAAGAACCUUACCAGGUCUUGACAUACUAUGCAAAUCUAAGAGAUUAGACGUUCCCUUCGGGGACAUGGAUACAGGUGGUGCAUGGUUGUCGUCAGCUCGUGUCGUGAGAUGUUGGGUUAAGUCCCGCAACGAGCGCAACCCUUAUUAUCAGUUGCCAGCAUUAAGUUGGGCACUCUGGUGAGACUGCCGGUGACAAACCGGAGGAAGGUGGGGAUGACGUCAAAUCAUCAUGCCCCUUAUGACCUGGGCUACACACGUGCUACAAUGGAUGGUACAACGAGUUGCGAACUCGCGAGAGUAAGCUAAUCUCUUAAAGCCAUUCUCAGUUCGGAUUGUAGGCUGCAACUCGCCUACAUGAAGUCGGAAUCGCUAGUAAUCGCGGAUCAGCAUGCCGCGGUGAAUACGUUCCCGGGCCUUGUACACACCGCCCGUCACACCAUGAGAGUUUGUAACACCCAAAGUCGGUGGGGUAACCUUUUAGGAACCAGCCGCCUAAGGUGGGACAGAUGAUUAGGGUGAAGUCGUAACA